GUCACUUUUGGCGGAGUGGUUAACGCGGUGGCCUGCUAAGCCAUUUCCCUUUGGGGAGCGCAGGUUCGAGUCCUGCAGGUGACG
This 84-nucleotide transfer RNA is filed under the name Piromyces finnis. RNAcentral's name for it is "tRNA-Ser". It matches the Rfam family "tRNA". Rfam says of the family: Transfer RNA (tRNA) molecules are approximately 80 nucleotides in length. Their secondary structure includes four short double-helical elements and three loops (D, anti-codon, and T loops). Lineage: Eukaryota; Fungi; Neocallimastigomycota; Neocallimastigomycetes; Neocallimastigales; Neocallimastigaceae. The record is from RNAcentral.